Molecule: ribosomal RNA, 654 nt
Filed under: Shouchella clausii
Lineage: Bacteria; Bacillati; Bacillota; Bacilli; Caryophanales; Bacillaceae
Description: bacterial SSU rRNA
Rfam family: Bacterial small subunit ribosomal RNA
Source: RNAcentral
UUGACGUUAGCGGCGGACGGGUGAGUAACACGUGGGCAACCUGCCCUUAGACUGGGAUAACUCCGGGAAACCGGAGCUAAUACCGGAUAAUCCCUUUCUCCACCUGGAGAGAGGGUGAAAGAUGGCUUCGGCUAUCACUAAGGGAUGGGCCCGCGGCGCAUUAGCUAGUUGGUAAGGUAACGGCUUACCAAGGCAACGAUGCGUAGCCGACCUGAGAGGGUGAUCGGCCACACUGGGACUGAGACACGGCCCAGACUCCUACGGGAGGCAGCAGUAGGGAAUCUUCCGCAAUGGACGAAAGUCUGACGGAGCAACGCCGCGUGAGUGAGGAAGGGGGUGGGGGGUCGUAAAGCUCAGAAAAAAAGGGAAGAAGCGGUACCGUUCGAAAAAAGGCGGUACCUAGACGGUACCUCACCAGAAAGCCACGGCUAACUACGUGCCAGCAGCCGCGGUAAUACGUAGGUGGCAAGCGAUAAAACAGAAUUAUUGGGCGUAAAGCGCGCGCAGGCGGCUUCUUAAGUCUGAUGUGAAAUCUCGGGGCUCAACCCCGAGCGGCCAUUGGAAACUGGGGAGCUUGAGUGCAGAAGAGGAGAGUGGAAUUCCACGUGUAGCGGUGAAAUGCGUAGAGAUGUGGAGGAACACCAGUGGCGAAGG